Molecule: ribosomal RNA, 486 nt
Filed under: uncultured bacterium
Lineage: Bacteria
Description: bacterial SSU rRNA
Rfam family: Bacterial small subunit ribosomal RNA
Source: RNAcentral
CAGUCUCAGCAUGCUAGACGGAGUUUGAUCAUGGCUCAGAGCGAACGCUAGCGGCGGGCUUAACACAUGCAAGUCGAGCGGAGAGCUUCGGCUCUCAGCGGCGAACGGGUGAGUAACACGUAGGUCACGUACCCUUUGAUGGGGAAUAACCUAGGGAAACCUGGGCUAAUACCGCAUAUGUCCUUCGGGAUGAAAGCCUUCGGGCGUCAGAGGAUCGGCCUGCGGCCCAUUAUUUAAUCCUAGUUGGUAGGGUAAUGGCCUACCAAGGGUACGAUGGGUAGCUGGUCUGAGAGGAUGAUCAGCCACACUGGAACUGAGACACGGUUCAGACUCCUACGGGAGGCAGCAGUGGGGAAUAUUGGACAAUGGGCGAAAGCCUGAUCCAGCCACGCCGCGUGGGUGAUGAAGGCCUUCGGGUUGUAAAGCCCUGUUGGGAGGGACGAAUCAAUGACGGUACCUCCCAAGAAAGCACCGGCUAACUCCGUG